This 1236-nucleotide long non-coding RNA is filed under the name Oryctolagus cuniculus (rabbit). RNAcentral's name for it is "lncRNA (ENSOCUG00000034408.1)". Lineage: Eukaryota; Metazoa; Chordata; Mammalia; Lagomorpha; Leporidae. The record is from RNAcentral.
CAGAGUACAUCCCUAGUGGAGUUCCCCUUGCUGGGAGCAUUCCAGGGACGCGCAGUGAAAAGUGAGACGGAGGGGAGGCCCGGGUGUCGGGGAGGGGCUUGCAACUCGGGAAGAGCGCUUUGCACAGAUGAGCUGCACGGUGAGACCCGUGCUGGGGAAGGGGUGUCUCCUACCCGGCCGCAGACCCAGCUCUGCAGCAGCGGCAGACCCAGCACUUCGUAAAUGGCCCGAACGGAUCCAUGACCUCAGCAGGAAGGGCCGAGGUGUGGUGCGAGUCUGCAGCCUCCAGGGAGCCACACGGGCUGCCAGACUCGGGGUGCAGGUGAUCCUCAAGGCAGCAACUCCCCAGCUGGAACAACCACACUCCCGGGGCACUCCACGGCGGGGCCUGGUAGAAACCUGGCCUGUGGCCGGAGGGGUAAGUGGCCAGGGUGCCCGACUGCUUCCUCCGCCCGAGCUGGCUCAGACAACCAUGAGGGCGUGCAAGGCUCCGGGGUCCCAGGCGCUGAGUUUCCCUACCCUGCCCCCACGUUUCCAAGGAUCUGCUUCUGCUAUUGAAUUCCUGUGCUGUGCCAGGCAUCGGGGAUCGAGGACGUACCCAAGACCCCGCGCUUGCUCACUGGUGGUCCUCAGUCUGGUAGGAUUGGGUAAGCAGCCCACGGGAGCUCUGCCCCUUCUUAGGUGCCCCCCACCCUGGUUCACCACGCUUCUGUGUGACAUCUGAGGGAACACGCCACUUGGGUCUUGGGACUUCCUAUUCCCACCCCACCCCUUCAUCUCUGCAACCCCUUGUCCCCUUCCUAAGGGCAGGGGUGGGAGGAGCCAUGGGGCCUGGAUGCUUCCUUCUGUUCCCACUGGAACUCACCACUCCAGUAGCAUGACUUUGUUCUCAAUCUCACCCAGGAAUGAGACAAGGGGCCAGCAUUGUGGCGUAAUGGGUAAGCCAGCUCCUGCAACGUUGGUAUCCCCUAUAGGUGCCACUCAGAGCCCCUGCUGCUCCACUUCCAAUCCAGCUCCCUGCUGAUGUGCCUGGGAAAUCAAUGGAAGAUGGCCCAAGUCCUUGGGUCCCUGUACCCCAGAUGAAGGUCUCAACUCCUGACUUCGGCCUGGCCUAGCCUUGGGCCAUUGUGGCCAUUGUGGGAGAGUGGAUCAAUGGAAGGAAGACCUCUCUCUCUCCCUCUCUGUACUCUGCCUUUCAUAUAAAUAAAAUAAAACUUAAAAAAAGAGAACGAGGCA